GACGAACGCUGGCGGCGUGCUUAACACAUGCAAGUCGAACGGAAAGGCCCUGCUUUUGUGGGGUGCUCGAGUGGCGAACGGGUGAGUAACACGUGAGUAACCUGCCCUUGACUUUGGGAUAACUUCAGGAAACUGGGGCUAAUACCGGAUAGGAGCUCCUGCUGCAUGGUGGGGGUUGGAAAGUUUCGGCGGUUGGGGAUGGACUCGCCGCUUAUCAGCUUGUUGGUGGGGUGAUGGCUUACCAAGGCUUUGACGGGUAGCCGGCCUGAGAGGGUGACCGGCCACAUUGGGAUUGAAAUACGGCCCAGACUCCUACGGGAGGCAGCAGUGGGGAAGAUUGCACAAUGGGCGGAAGCCUGAUGCAGCAGCGCCGCGUGCGGGAUGACGGCCUUCGGGUUGUGAACCGCUUUCGCCUGUGACGAAGCGUGAGUGACGGUAAUGGGUAAAGAAGCACCGGCUAACUACGUG
This 468-nucleotide ribosomal RNA is filed under the name uncultured bacterium. RNAcentral describes it as "partial 16S ribosomal RNA". It matches the Rfam family "Bacterial small subunit ribosomal RNA", at positions 28 to 507 of the family's 1533-position model. The record is from RNAcentral.